UAUCUCUGUAGAGUCUGCAUAUCAAUAAGCGGAGGAAAAGAAACUAACAAGGAUUCCCCUAGUAACGGCGAGUGAAGCGGGAAGAGCUCAAAUUUGAAAUCUUCAAGGUUUGACCUUGACGAAUUGUAGUUUAAAGAAGUGUUUUCGGUUAGAGGAGUAGUAAAAGUUCUUUGGAAUAGGACAUCAUAGAGGGUGAGAAUCCCGUAUUUGACUAUUCUUUCUAGCUUUGUGAUACACUUUCAAAGAGUCGGAUUGUUUGGGAAUGCAGUCCAAAAUGGGUGGUAAAUUUCAUCUAAAGCUAAAUAUUGGCGAGAGACCGUUAGCGAACAAGUACCGUGAGGGAAAGAUGAAAAGAACUUUGAAAAGAGAGUUAAACAGUACGUGAAAUUGUCAAAAGGGAAGCGUUUGACACCAGUGUUGUUUUUCCGAAAAUCAAUUAAAAAUUGAUUCAUGCCAGGUUGUAUUGACCUUAUCAGCUUGCAAUUUGGUUUUGGGUCUCUUUUUGAUGCACUUUUCGGUUAACAAGUCAACAUCAAUUUCCUUUGCUGUAAAAAGGUAAGAGGAAGGUGGCUUCAAUUUCGGUUGAAGUGUUUAUAGCCUUUUAUCUCUGCAGUCGGGGAGAUUGAGGUCUGCAGCGUAGAUCCUUCGGGGCUAGAUACAUUUAUGCUAAGUUAUAGCUUUUCAUAGACAACUUGUUGACUGAUGUUUAGUCAUGUAGCUUACUCGUAAGUGCUAUUUUACCUACGCUUAGGAUGUUGAGCGCAUGUCUCUCUCU
This 775-nucleotide ribosomal RNA is filed under the name uncultured Neocallimastigales. Its description in RNAcentral is "partial large subunit ribosomal RNA". It matches the Rfam family "Eukaryotic large subunit ribosomal RNA", at positions 24 to 642 of the family's 3401-position model. Lineage: Eukaryota; Fungi; Neocallimastigomycota; Neocallimastigomycetes; Neocallimastigales. The record is from RNAcentral.